GGUUAAGCGACUAAGCGUACACGGUGGAUGCCCUGGCAGUCAGAGGCGAUGAAGGACGUGCUAAUCUGCGAAAAGCGCCGGCGAGGUGAUAUGAACCUUUGACCCGGCGAUGUCCGAAUGGGGAAACCCAGUGCAAUUCGUUGCACUAUCGUUAACUGAAUACAUAGGUUAACGAGGCGAACCGGGGGAACUGAAACAUCUAAGUACCCCGAGGAAAAGAAAUCAACCGAGAUUCCCCCAGUAGCGGCGAGCGAACGGGGAGCAGCCCAGAGUCUGAAUCAGCUUGUGUGUUAGUGGAAGCGUCUGGAAAGUCGCACGGUACAGGGUGACAGUCCCGUACACGAAAGCACACAGGUUGUGAACUCGAAGAGUAGGGCGGGACACGUGGUAUCCUGUCUGAAUAUGGGGGGACCAUCCUCCAAGGCUAAAUACUCCUGACUGACCGAUAGUGAACCAGUACCGUGAGGGAAAGGCGAAAAGAACCCCGGCGAGGGGAGUGAAAAAGAACCUGAAACCGUGUACGUACAAGCAGUGGGAGCACCUUCGUGGUGUGACUGCGUACCUUUUGUAUAAUGGGUCAGCGACUUAUAUUCUGUAGCAAGGUUAACCGUAUAGGGGAGCCGAAGGGAAACCGAGUCUUAACUGGGCGUUAAGUUGCAGGGUAUAGACCCGAAACCCGGUGAUCUAGCCAUGGGCAGGUUGAAGGUUGGGUAACACUAACUGGAGGACCGAACCGACUAAUGUUGAAAAAUUAGCGGAUGACUUGUGGCUGGGGGUGAAAGGCCAAUCAAACCGGGAGAUAGCUGGUUCUCCCCGAAAGCUAUUUAGGUAGCGCCUCGUGAACUCAUCUUCGGGGGUAGAGCACUGUUUCGGCUAGGGGGCCAUCCCGGCUUACCAACCCGAUGCAAACUACGAAUACCGAAGAAUGUUAUCACGGGAGACACACGGCGGGUGCUAACGUCCGUCGUGAAGAGGGAAACAACCCAGACCGCCAGCUAAGGUCCCAAAGUCAUGGUUAAGUGGGAAACGAUGUGGGAAGGCACAGACAGCCAGGAUGUUGGCUUAGAAGCAGCCAUCAUUUAAAGAAAGCGUAAUAGCUCACUGGUCGAGUCGGCCUGCGCGGAAGAUGUAACGGGGCUAAACCAUGCACCGAAGCUGCGGCAGCGACGCUUAUGCGUUGUUGGGUAGGGGAGCGUUCUGUAAGCCGUUGAAGGUGUGCUGUGAGGCAUGCUGGAGGUAUCAGAAGUGCGAAUGCUGACAUAAGUAACGAUAAAGCGGGUGAAAAGCCCGCUCGCCGGAAGACCAAGGGUUCCUGUCCAACGUUAAUCGGGGCAGGGUGAGUCGACCCCUAAGGCGAGGCCGAAAGGCGUAGUCGAUGGGAAACAGGUUAAUAUUCCUGUACUUGGUGUUACUGCGAAGGGGGGACGGAGAAGGCUAUGUUAGCCGGGCGACGGUUGUCCCGGUUUAAGCAUGUAGGCGGAGGUUCCAGGUAAAUCCGGUACCUUAUUAACGCUGAGGUGUGAUGACGAGGCACUACGGUGCUGAAGUAACAAAUGCCCUGCUUCCAGGAAAAGCCUCUAAGCAUCAGGUAACACGAAAUCGUACCCCAAACCGACACAGGUGGUCAGGUAGAGAAUACCAAGGCGCUUGAGAGAACUCGGGUGAAGGAACUAGGCAAAAUGGUGCCGUAACUUCGGGAGAAGGCACGCUGAUAUGUAGGUGAAGCCCCUGCGGGUGGAGCUGAAAUCAGUCGAAGAUACCAGCUGGCUGCAACUGUUUAUUAAAAACACAGCACUGUGCAAACACGAAAGUGGACGUAUACGGUGUGACGCCUGCCCGGUGCCGGAAGGUUAAUUGAUGGGGUUAGCGGUAACGCGAAGCUCUUGAUCGAAGCCCCGGUAAACGGCGGCCGUAACUAUAACGGUCCUAAGGUAGCGAAAUUCCUUGUCGGGUAAGUUCCGACCUGCACGAAUGGCGUAAUGAUGGCCAGGCUGUCUCCACCCGAGACUCAGUGAAAUUGAACUCGCUGUGAAGAUGCAGUGUACCCGCGGCAAGACGGAAAGACCCCGUGAACCUUUACUAUAGCUUGACACUGAACACUGGUCCUUGAUGUGUAGGAUAGGUGGGAGGCUUUGAAGCGUGGACGCCAGUCUGCGUGGAGCCGACCUUGAAAUACCACCCUUUAAUGGCUGGUGUUCUAACGUAGACCCGUAAUCCGGGUUGCGGACAGUGUCUGGUGGGUAGUUUGACUGGGGCGGUCUCCUCCCAAAGAGUAACGGAGGAGCACGAAGGUUAGCUAAUCCUGGUCGGACAUCAGGAGGUUAGUGCAAUGGCAUAAGCUAGCUUGACUGCGAGAGUGACGGCUCGAGCAGGUGCGAAAGCAGGUCAUAGUGAUCCGGUGGUUCUGAAUGGAAGGGCCAUCGCUCAACGGAUAAAAGGUACUCCGGGGAUAACAGGCUGAUACCGCCCAAGAGUUCAUAUCGACGGCGGUGUUUGGCACCUCGAUGUCGGCUCAUCACAUCCUGGGGCUGAAGUAGGUCCCAAGGGUAUGGCUGUUCGCCAUUUAAAGUGGUACGCGAGCUGGGUUUAGAACGUCGUGAGACAGUUCGGUCCCUAUCUGCCGUGGGCGCUGGAGAAUUGAGGGGGGCUGCUCCUAGUACGAGAGGACCGGAGUGGACGCAUCACUGGUGUUCGGGUUGUCAUGCCAAUGGCACUGCCCGGUAGCUAAAUGCGGAAAAGAUAAGUGCUGAAAGCAUCUAAGCACGAAACUUGCCCCGAGAUGAGUUCUCCCUGACCCUUUAAGGGUCCUGAAGGAACGUUGAAGACUACGACGUUGAUAGGUCGGGUGUGUAAGCGCAGCGAUGCGUUGAGCUAACCGAUACUAAUGAACCGUGAGGCUUAACCUU
This 2906-nucleotide ribosomal RNA is filed under the name Enterobacter asburiae. Its description in RNAcentral is "23S ribosomal RNA". It matches the Rfam family "Bacterial large subunit ribosomal RNA". Lineage: Bacteria; Pseudomonadati; Pseudomonadota; Gammaproteobacteria; Enterobacterales; Enterobacteriaceae. The record is from RNAcentral.